This 22-nucleotide small nuclear RNA is filed under the name Arabidopsis thaliana (thale cress). RNAcentral's name for it is "snRNA_11215". Lineage: Eukaryota; Viridiplantae; Streptophyta; Magnoliopsida; Brassicales; Brassicaceae. The record is from RNAcentral.
ACUGCGGCUUACCGUUGCCCAU